AGGGUUUGACAAAAGAAAUACUGUCUUUAUUUUAAAUAUUGAAUUUAACUUUUAAGUGAGAAGGCUUAAAUUAUUUGGGGGGACGAUAAGACCCUAUAAAGCUUUAUUUAUUAUUUUAAAUUUAUUAAAGUAAUAAUUUAAAAAUAUGUUUAGAAUAGUUUAUUUUGUUGGGGCGACAGAGAUAUAAUUUAAAUAACUGUUUGAAAUUUAAACAGAGAUACUUGGGUAAGAGUAAAUGAUCCUUUUUAAAGAUUAAAAGAACAAGUUACUUUAGGGAUAACAGCGUAAUUUUCUUUGAGAGUUCCUAUCGAAAAGAAAGUUUGCGACCUCGAUGUUGAAUUAAAAGAUCUUUAUUGUGCAGCAGCUUUAAGAGAAGGUCUGUUCGACCUUUAAAUUUUUACAUGAUUUGAGU
Molecule: ribosomal RNA, 412 nt
Filed under: Mursia sp. IEO-CD-MZ09/1775-1
Lineage: Eukaryota; Metazoa; Arthropoda; Malacostraca; Decapoda; Calappidae
Description: partial large subunit ribosomal RNA
Rfam family: Bacterial large subunit ribosomal RNA (bases 276-412)
Source: RNAcentral